AUGUGCAUUCAAAGUAGUACUAACUAGAAUCUCCGCAUGUCAUUAGGGUUUCAGGUAGAUGUUGUGACAACUCUUCAGCAGAAAUCUUCCUCAGUUCAGGAAAAUGUCACAAACAUUAGCAAAUCUCCAUUAGUUUCGGAUUGAUUUACCAAGUCAACAACCUUAUCCAGAAACUACCAUAUGAGCAAUAAGCAAGUCCGCAAAAUCUGAGCUUGAUUCUGCGGCACACUUUUUGCACAAGCAAUCCCGCUAGGAAGGAGUCAGAGCACGAGACAGCUUCCAGCUUCGUUCAUGUCGGUGUUGCAACCCCAUACUCGAACAGCAAGUCUCCGACACUUGGGAGAUGAUUGUACCAGAUACUUGCUGUACCAGUCGAUAAUGUCUUUCUUGUUUAUGCUUUUGAGUUCCUCUGCUUCCUUUUGUGACAGAUCAAACAUAUACCUGGAUACCAUUGAUUGACAGAUUUGUAACGACAUCAGGCAAGAGCCUUCAAAAACAAAACUACUUAAUACUUGUCAAUCUUUGUAUCUAUGCAAAAACGGCAGAACCCAUAACCUCUUUUUAUAAGCAUUCUAACUUGUUCACGAGUAAUCACA
This is a long non-coding RNA of Mangifera indica (mango), 596 nucleotides long. RefSeq lists it as uncharacterized. The transcript is spliced from 2 exons. The record is from RefSeq and is a predicted model, not a curated record. Lineage: Eukaryota; Viridiplantae; Streptophyta; Magnoliopsida; Sapindales; Anacardiaceae.